UACGAAGGGGGCGAGCGUUGUUCGGAAUUACUGGGCGUAAAGGGCGCGUAGGCGGCCCGCUAAGUCGAACGUGAAAUCCCCGAGCUCAACUCGGGAACUGCGUCCGAUACUGGUGGGCUUGAAUCCGGGAGAGGGAUGCGGAAUUCCAGGUGUAGCGGUGAAAUGCGUAGAUAUCUGGAGGAACACCGGUGGCGAAGGCGGCAUCCUGGACCGGCAUUGACGCUGAGGCGCGAAAGCUAGGGGAGCAAACGGG
Molecule: ribosomal RNA, 253 nt
Filed under: uncultured bacterium
Lineage: Bacteria
Description: partial 16S ribosomal RNA
Rfam family: Bacterial small subunit ribosomal RNA
Source: RNAcentral